UGGCGGAAUGCUUUACACAUGCAAGUCGAGCGGCAGCGCGGGGCAACCUGGCGGCGAGCGGCGAACGGGUGAGUAAUGCAUCGGAACAUGUCCAUUCGUGGGGGAUAGCCCGGCGAAAGCCGGAUUAAUACCGCAUACGCCCUGAGGGGGAAAGCGGGGGACUCGCAAGAGCCUCGCGCGAAUGGGUUGGCCGAUGUCCGAUUAGCUAGUUGGUGGGGUAAAGGCUUACCAAGGCGAUGAUCGGUAGCUGGUCUGAGAGGGUGAUCAGCCACACUGGGACUGAGACACGGCCCAGACUCCUACGGGAGGCAGCAGUGGGGAAUUUUGGACAAUGGGGGCAACCCUGAUCCAGCCAUUCCGCGUGAGUGAAGAAGGCCUUCGGGUUGUAAAGCUCUUUUGUCCGGAACGAAACGGGUCGCGUGAAUAUCGCGGCCUACUGACGGUACCGGAAGAAUAAGCACCGGCUAACUACGUGCCAGCAGCCGCGGUAAUACGUAGGGUGCGAGCGUUAAUCGGAAUUACUGGGCGUAAAGCGUGCGCAGGCGGUUUUGUAAGCCAGAUGUGAAAUCCCCGGGCUUAACCUGGGAAUGGCAUUUGGGACUGCAAGGCUUGAGUGCGGCAGAGGAGACUGGAAUUCCUGGUGUAGCAGUGGAAUGCGUAGAUAUCAGGAGGAACACCGAUGGCGAAGGCGGGUUGCUGGGCUGACACUGACGCUGAGGCGCGAAAGCUAG
RNAcentral lists this ribosomal RNA (731 nucleotides) under uncultured soil bacterium. RNAcentral's name for it is "bacterial SSU rRNA". It matches the Rfam family "Bacterial small subunit ribosomal RNA", at positions 37 to 763 of the family's 1533-position model. The record is from RNAcentral.